RNAcentral lists this ribosomal RNA (589 nucleotides) under uncultured bacterium. Its description in RNAcentral is "bacterial SSU rRNA". It matches the Rfam family "Bacterial small subunit ribosomal RNA", at positions 61 to 645 of the family's 1533-position model. The record is from RNAcentral.
GUCGAGGGGCAGCGGAUCCCUCCGGGGAUGCCGGCGACCGGCGAACGGGUGAGUAACACGUAUGGAACCUACCUUUAACUGGGGGAUAGCCCCGAGAAAUCGGAGUUAAUACCCCAUAUUAUAAUAAAGGGGCAUCCCUUUAUUAUGAAAGCUCCGGCGGUUAAAGAUGGCCAUGCGGUCCAUUAGCUUGUUGGUGAGAUAAAAGCUCACCAAGGCCACGAUGGAUAGCUGAUCUGAGAGGAUGAUCAGCCACAUUGGCACUGAGACACGGGCCAAACUCCUACGGGAGGCAGCAGUAGGGAAUCUUGGUCAAUAGGCGAAAGCCUGAACCAGCCAUGCCGCGUGCAGGAUGAAGGCCCUACGGGUCGUAAACUGCUUUUAUUCGGGAAGAAAAAGUCUGUGUCCACAGACCUUGACGGUACCGAAUGAAUAAGGACCGGCCAACUCCGUGCCAGCAGCCGCGGUAAUACGGAGGGUCCAAGCGUUAUCCGGAUUCACUGGGUUUAAAGGGUGCGCAGGCGGUCUGGUAAGUCAGUGGUGAAAGCCUUCGGCUCAACCGGAGAAUUGCCAUUGAAACUACUAGACUUGA